Molecule: ribosomal RNA, 167 nt
Filed under: Deveximentum megalolepis
Lineage: Eukaryota; Metazoa; Chordata; Actinopteri; Chaetodontiformes; Leiognathidae
Description: partial 12S rRNA
Source: RNAcentral
CACCGCGGUUAUACGAGAGGCCCAAAUUGAUAGUACUCGGCAUAAAGUGUGGUAAAGAAAACGAACAAUAAAGCCGAACUCUUCCAAGGCUGUUAUACGCAACCGAAAAGAAGAAGACCAACAACGAAAGUGACUUUACCCCCUCUGAAUCCACGAAAGCCAGGAAA